GCCUACGGGUGGCCGGGCGGGAUGUAACCGGCUGCUGAGCUGGCAGUUCUGUGUCGCUAGGCUUCUGCCCGGCCGCCGCCGCACAUAAGCUGCGAGGAGGAGCUUUACGACUUCCCGGUCUUCGGGGCCGGGCGCAGCAAGGGCCAGACUCUGCGCUAGCAGGCGCUGCGCGCCAACCGGCCGGCACCUGUCGCAGAAGGUGCAACCGAUCGCACUGUCGCGCAGAAGCUCCUCAAUGGCCAGCGCCAGCUGCAGCCCCGGCCGCCCACUCGCCUCAUCUGAGCCUGGGUACGUGCGCCCCACAACGCCUCCCCCAGCCAGGGCCCGGGGAUCCCCGGGAGCGUCCCCGGCUACCUGGCGCCGCUCAUCCUGGGUAGGGUCGGCCCCCUCUGAGGCUGCCUGGCAUGAGGGAGCUGCACCCCUGAGCUUGACCUCUGACGGCCCUUUGUAAUAGCAUUAAGUCUUUGAAACUUUGUAGCGGGGUAGAAGGGGCUAGGAAAUGAAGAAAACAUCUUUUUAAAAAUAUAAGCAGUCGGCUGGGCGAGGUGGCCCACGCCUGUAAUCCCAGCACUUUGGGAGGUCGAGGCAGGUGGAUCACGAGGACAGGAGUUCAAAACCAGCCUGGCCAGCAUGGUUUCACUGAAACCCCGUCUCUACUAAAAACACAAAAAUUAGUCGGGCGUGGUGGCUGGUGCCUGUAAUCCCAGCUACCCGGGAGGCUGAGGCAGAGAAUUGUUUGAACCCGGGAUGCGGAGGUUGCAGUGAGCGGAGAUCGCGCCACUGCACUCCAGCCUGGGCAACAGACCAAGACUCCGUCUAAACAAACAAAUAUAUGUGUGUAUAUAUAUGCGAUCGAGCCCGGGAGGUUGAGAUUACAGUGAGCUGAGAUUAUAUAAGCGAUCGAGCACUGGAGGUUGAUGUUACAGUGAGCUGAGAUUGCGCCAUUGCACUCCAGCCUGUGUAACAGAGGGAGACUCUGUCUCUAAAAAAUUAUAUGCAAGUGAGAGCUUUUCUUCCAGCGCUCAUGCUCAGACUGAAGAAAGUAAUUGGGCCAGGCCCGGUGGCUCACGCCCGUAAUCCCAGCAUUUUGGGAGGCGGAGGCGGAAGCGGGUGGAUCACUUGAGCUCAGGAAUUCCAGACUAGUUUGGGCAACAUGGUGGAAGCCUGUCUCUACAAAAAUACAAAAAAUUAGCUGGGCAUGGUGGCACGCACUUGUAGUCUCCGCUACUUGCCGGGCUUAGGCGGGAGAAUCGCUCAGCUGCAGCCUCGACCUCCAGGGGCAAUCCAUUUCAGCCUCCCAAAGUGCUGAGAUUACAGGAAUGAGCCAUCGUGCCUGGCUUUACACUAUAUUUUAAUACUUUUUUUGAAAAUGGAAACUUUUACAGGCAAUUCACUUCCUUCAAACUAAUGAUAAGGAAGUGAUGCUGUUCUGUUCUGUUUUGUUUUUUGUUUUUGUGGGUUUUUUUUCUUUUUUGAGAUGGGGUCUUGCCCAGGUUGGAGUGAGUUGGUGCAAACAAGGCUCACUGCAGCCUUGACCUUCGGGCUCAAGGAAUCCUUCCCUGUCAGCCUCCCCGGUAGCUAGGACUACAGGUGCAUGCUACCACGCUUGGCUAAUUCUUUUUUUGAAAUGGAGUCUCACUCUGUCUCCCAGGCUGGAGUGCAGUGGUGCAAUCUCGGCUCACUGCAGGCUGGUCUCAACCUCUGACUUCGGCUGGUCCACCCACUUCUGCAUCCCAAAGUGCUGGGAUUACAAGUGUGACCCACCGCGCCUGGCGAUUUUGCUCAUUUUAGAUACUAGAACUUUUUAAUUUAAAUUUUUUUUUUCCUGAGAUGGAGUCUUACUUUGUCUCCAGGCUGGAGUGUAGUGGCGUAAUCUCGGCUCACUGCAACCUCCGCCUCCUGAGUUCAAGCGAUUCUCCUGCCUCAGCCUGCCAGAGUUGCUGGGACUACAGGUGCGCACCACCACACCCAGGAGUUCAAGGCUGCAGUGAGCCAUGAUCGUACCACUGCACUCCAGCCUGGGCAACACAGCGAGACCCUGACUCCACAAAUAAAUAAAUCAACAUCAUAUGAUCUGUACCAGGGUAUAGGCAGGUGCUAUGAUCCCCACUUUUCAUCCUCAACUCUAAGUUGAGUCAUACAUCAACCUCUAGUAAAAAGUGGCAUGCUCUCAGUCAAAGGGGUAAGCCCAAACCACGCGGAGAGAAUCUUAUCUCUUUUGAGAGCUAAUAUAAAAAGAAUUCCUCCUAGGCAUAAAAAUAUUGUGACACCAGUUACUUAGGCUAAACAUGCCUAUUAUGCUAAGUGAGUUAUUAACAAUAAAUACUUUAACUCUGUGCCAUGUUAAUUAUCAUAAUCUGAUUUAUAAUUUGUUUUAACCUUAGGUUAUAUAUACCUUGAAGCCAUUUAUAUUUUGGUAUACUUGUAAUAAUUACUAUACACCGGACUAUGUAUAUUGGACUAAACACGGAGAGUCAAAAAAGAGUAUGUGGUCAGAGUAGAAAUCAUGCCCUAGCUUCCUUCGUGUCUACCUCCUACCUUGAGUAGAAGUGGUAGAAAAAGUAAUUACCUAAGAUUUUUUGGAUUCUGGUUUGUGGAGAAGCACCCUUAUAUUUAGGCUGAUGGGCGGCAAAAUUAGAAAGUAUUUUUUGUGAUUUAGAAUUUUAUACGGAGAUGUUCAUUGUGAUUAAUUAUUCUUUGUAUUAGCAGAUUUUUGCUUUUUAUAGCUGCAUGAUUUCUUGUUUAUUAUUCAUUCAUUAUUGUCUAUUAAUAAAGAAAAACUUUAUUUCACUGAAGCAGUGAUAUAUAAUCCAACUUGGAUUUUUAAAUAAUGACUGACUUUUUUUCUUUGGGAAUACAUUACUGUUAAAAAUGUAAUUAUUAGAUACAUUACUUUUAAUGAAUAUAAGUGGUAUAAUUAGAAGGCUGAAAAGAAUCCUUGGAAAUGUGAGUUUAAUUUGAUAGCUAAGAAACUGAGGACAAGUUACUUAUUCUUUGUAGCAUAUUUUCUAAUGUCAUUUCAUUGUCUCACCAAGAAAUACUUGCAUAAAGCAAGUUCAAUUACAGCAUCUGUUGAAUAUUUAAGGUUGAGUAAAGUGGGUGAGUUUAACAGAUAUUUUCCCUUAUUUCUUUUAGGCGAAUCUGGAUUGGGAAAGUUGAUAUUAAUCAACUCAUUAUUCCUCACAGAUUUGUAUUCUCCAGAGUAUCCAGGUCCUUCUCAGAGAAUUAAAAAGCCUGUACAGGUCUACAUAUUGGUAUUUUUAAUUGAUGAUAAGCUGGAAUAAUAUUAAUACACACAAAGCACGUGUUGUAACUUUCAUUAUGCUUCCCUAGAGGUAAGAUGCAAAUUUGCCCUUAGCCAGUGUAAGAUGGUAAAUAUGACUUCAUAAAAUCAAAAAAACAGAGGAAGUACAGUUAAUCGAAAGAAUUAUCUUGACUAGAACUUUCCAAAUUUGUCCUAAGGAUUCUCCUAGAGAUGACACUGUGACAUAGUAACCAAUUCCCCUGGAGUUGUGCUAUGUAGUAUGAUAGUCAUUUGCCACAUGUUUAAAUCAAUUAAAAUUAAUUAAAUUAAAAUGCAAUUUCUCAUUUGCUCCAGAUACAUUUCAAGUGCUCAACAGCCACAUGUGGCAAGUGGCUGCCAUUUUGUGCAGCACAUAUAUGAAGAUUUUCAUCAUUGUAGAAAAUUGCAUUGGACAGUGUAGAGAAAACAUGAUUCAUAGAAAAACUAUUGUUAUUUAAAUAGUGUUCUAUAUUAGUCAGUGGGAUAAUACCAUAUCAUAGUUGAAUGGCAAUAGCAAUUCUGUAAAACUCCCAUGCUAUAUGUGAUCUAAUUUACUGCUUCUCAGUCUUUGCUACGCAUUCCAAUCCUGGGUAUCCUGUUAAAUUUAUUUCUUCUAGUAGUUCUGAGAUGGGCUGCCUUUCUACAUUUCUAACAAGAUCCCAGGUGAUGCUGAUGCCGCUGGAUGGUAGAUCACACUUUAUAAAGCAAGGGGCUAGACUCUAGAUAUGCACUUUUUAUUAAAUAGUACAGCAGCCUGUAGCCACAUGUGGCUAUUAAUCUUUGAAAUGUGGGUAGUCUGAAUUGUGAUGUUCUGCAAAUAUAAAAUAUGCCACAGAUUUCUAAGACUGAGCAUGGAAAAGAAAAUCUCCGUAAUUUUUUAUAUUGAUUGUAUACUGCAGUGAUAAUAUUUUGGAUGUAUCGGGUUAAAUAAAAUUGACUGAUUUCACCUUUUUCCUAUUUUAAAAGUGGCUACUAAGAAAAUUUUAAAUUACUUACAUGACCGACAUGGUAUUUUUAUUUGGCAGCGCUGCUCUAAGCUGUUGAUGAAAAAUAUUGUUGGUGAGCUCUGCUUAGGUAAUAUGUAGGACACGAGCAGAGAGGAGGCACGUGAACAGUUCUGGCUGAAGUAGGCUUCAUUGAGGCCGUGAUGCUUUUAGCUGGAUUUGAAGAAGUGGUAGUGAGCAUCCCAGUGCACAGGAUAGGAGGACAGUCUAUAUAUUCUGAGCAGUAACUCAUAUAUAUCAUACUGCAAGACCCCAAAGGAGUAAUUUUUUGAAGUAAAUAUCUUAUUUCUCCUUUUUAAUGUUUCUAUUUUGGGAAUUUUUUUUUUUUUAGUAACCUUCAUAGGGCUUGAGAUUUAAAAUUACCUGCAAAAUUCUACUCUAAAAACUUGAUCCUACAUGCUUAUUUAUUUUGUGAUAAAUAUUGGAAAUUUUAAACCUAAGCAAGAAAAUGAACUUUGAACUUUCUUAAUUUGGGUAUCUAUUAUGAAUACCUUCACUUAAGUAUUUAUGAAUUUAGAUAUGAAAGGUAAAACUAACCACUAUCCAAAUUAAUAUACAGUUCAUUUCCAGAACCCUAGUUUCUUCCAUGUGCUCACUCGCAUUCAGUAUUACAACCCCCAAAGAUAAACACCUUACUGACUGCCUUCUCCAUAAAUUUGCCUGUUCUUGAACGUUAUAUACGUAUACUUUUUUGUAUCUGUUUUCUUUCAGUGAAGAUUAUGUCUGUAUUAUUUACUCAUGUUGGGUGUAGUUGUUUUUUUCAUCGUCGUAUAAUACUCCAUUGUGUGAAUGUAUAAAGUAUAUCCUUUAUUAUUUAUUGUAGAUAAGCCUUUGGGUUUUCAGUUUUUUACUAACGGGAACAUUCUUGUGCAUGUCUUAGUAGACUUAGGCACUCAUUGCUGUUGUGUGUGCAUAAAGAUAUAAAGGUAUUUGAGUUUAUUUUAUUUGAUUUCUAGUGAGGUUGAACAUGUCUUGUACUCAAUAACUGUUCAGAUUUCAUUAAAGUCUUUUGGUAAUCUUAAUAUUUUCUGUCAUUUUCUUGCUGAUUUAUAGGAGUUUGAAAAAUCUAAUAAUCCCCUACAUUUUAGAUAUUGCAGACAUUUUCUCCCCAGGUGAGCAUCUGUUAAAGAUGUGACAUGCCCUCAAUUUAUUUUAGAAUUCUUACAUUGGCUUAGCUUCAAAAUAAAUUGCCUAAACCCAUUUUACCUUCCUUUAAAGUAACACUUCAAAAAUAUCCUCUUCUGUUGUGAAUAUCUUCCCGGAAACUCUCUUUAUCUUGAAAACAAAGGGGUAAUGGAGGUACUAGAGAAUAUCUCUAGUAGGAUUUUUAAGACAGGCCUGUGCACCACUGUUAAAUAUCUUUUCUGUACCAAAAAGAAGACCUGUAACAUUUGAGAACCAGAUUGAUCCUUAGUAGAAUCCUGUAGAAGUCCUCUUUCCUGAUUGAACCAUAGAGGUGUAUUCCUUUAUAUACUGAAAACUAGCUGAAGAUAAUCUAAACUCUUGUGCCCAGUUAGGAAAGAACAUGCCAUAUUAUGGACAGGGUCAGAGUCAUUCAAGAAGCCUGAAUAUAGUUAGAAAAUGAGAAUGUAAUCUUUUUAAUAGUUGGCUGGCUCUUUACCAAGCCCAGUAGUCUUGAAGAUAUAGGGGAAAUAGUGUAAACGGUUGUCAAGAUGAAUCUAAAAUGGAAAUUAAUCAGUUCCCUAGAAUAGAUUGAGAAAUUAGCUUUAGGAAAAAGAUAAAUUUCACACACACUGUACCAUGGAAGGUACAGUGCUGAUUCAGACAGACUGGGAAUGGUCUCAUUUUUAAGUGGUGAUGUGAGGUACUUCACUGAGCAUUGUGACAGGCACGGGCUUGGGAAGAGCCUAUUAGGAAAUGGGAGAGGCAUGAGACUAAGGAGCACAUAAGAGUAAUAUUAGCAGAGAAAUUCUUUUUGAGGUUGAAGGUCAUGAAUUUUAUGGUAUAGGAAUAGAAAGAGGGGUUAAUCCAGAAUGGGAUUUGAGUUGGAAAGGGAAAGAAAUAAAGGUUUUGGGAAGGAGGUUGCUAAUAGAAAAUGAGAGGGGCAAGGGAUUUGAGGUCUCAGUAAGGAGACAGGGAUAUGAGGAGUGGAGAGGUUCAGAAUAGAAAGCCAAAUUAGAGUUUUGGGAUCAACUUUCUUCUCAGUAAAGUAGUCCUGGGUCUUCGUGAGAAGGAAGUAUUCUUCAGGCAUAACUGUUCUACUAUUGGUUACUUCCUCUUUCAUUGUCUUGUGGAACACGAUGAAACAUUUAAGAUGAUAUUCAUCUUUUGAGCCAAUAAAUAAGGGAAAUAGAUAGUUUUUGUGUUUGAGCUAAGUGGAGUAUCUCAGGCCAUUCCAAUGUCUUCAGAGUUUUGGCUGUAAUGCUACCUCUUGAGCAAGUGUAGGUAGAGGUAAGCUCUUGACAGAAAAUUUUAACCCUCUCUUCAAAAUGUUAUAUGCUUAAUUAAAUAACUUCUUAAUUUACCUUAAUAAAUGGCGUAUAAACAUUAAGUUAGAAAAGGUUAGUGUAUAUGAAGCUGUAUAAUCAACAUUGUUUGACUUUUUUUCCUCAGAUUGUAAAACUGAAAACUCAGUAUACUAAUACUCUUGUAUACUGUAUACACUCAGUAUUAGAAAAUGAGUACCUUUGAUUUCUGGAAUCUCGGAUGCCAAAAGAGGUCUCAAUAGAUGAAUUAUACAUAGAUGAUUCAUAGACGAUAGUUUUAGUUUUAUUUAUUUUUCAGGGAAAAACAUUUGACAAUGUUCUUGAUUCAUUUUUUUGGUAUUAAAUUAUGCAGCUAAUCUUAGAGAACCCUGAGUGAUGCCAUAAAAGAUGUUGAUGUGGCCUGCUUAAGGAAAGUGCACGGGAAAGUGGCCAUUUGGAAUAGAUUUGUUAAGAAAAGUUUGAAAUUCUUGGACUCGAACUAAUUUGUUUUCCAUGGAUCCCAUGAGGAUACUUGUAAAAGCAGAUGAUAGGGUCCAGUUGGAUCCUGUGAAUGGCACUAGUUUGCAGUUAUGUUUUCUGGAUCUCUUCCAUAUGUCGCUGACUUCUUUGUAUUUGACCAUGUAUGGACAUACAGAAUUUCAUAGGCCAGAGAAGAAAAGAAGCUUUAUAAACAUUCCUUAUGUGUGUAAAAUACAAAUCUUCAUUUGUCUUAGCAAGUCAAUAAGUAAUUAAGUUGUUGAACUGAUUUUUUUUUUAAACAGGGAAAUAUCUUAAAAUUUAAGCUGUUAGGUUAAAAUGUGUGUUUGGUAUACAGCAUAUUACUGAAGGUAGAAUGGGCUUCAUUUGGUAAUAAAGGAACCAGAAAUAUUUUUAAGUAAAAUUGGGAGAUGAUUCAUGUAGAUUAACUAUAUUUUUGUAUCACUUUCUAGAAUACAGUACUAUGUUGUUUAAAAGAGUAAGUAGGUAAAGGAGUGGUAUAAUUACUUUGGAUAUUUCUGCGUCAGCCACAGUUACCAUGAAUAAAUGAUCUGUCUUUAUAAAGGAGAUGGAAGUGAAUUCAAGAUAUUGAGAUGUUAGAUUUGACUGGGUUGUCCUUUGACUAGAAGAUCACCAGAUAAAGAAAAUGUAAACUUCCUAAACCAGAUAAGAUGAUAUUGUUAAAAAAUUUUUUUGGCCCAGCACUUUGGGAGGCUGAAAUGGGAAGAUUGCUUGAACCCAGGAGUUUGAAGCUGCAGUAAGCUAUGAUCUACCAUGCACUCCAGCCUGGGCAACAGAGUGAGACCCUGACUAAAAAAAAAAAUUUUUUUUCCUUUGGUUCUCAUGAUUUCACACUGAUGAAUCUGAUUGUUUUCUCUGAGUCAUUUUGCCUCUCUCAUGUUAUUAGGGUAACCUGAUAAUAGACAUGUUAUCUGAGUUAUGUGGUAUGUAACAGUGAUCUUCUAAAUGAUGUGCAUCCAUCACUGAUACUGAGGAUGAUCAGAAACUAUUACAACUCUUAUUUAUUGAUCUUUACUUUUAAUCUACAGAUAAAUGAUAAUACAUAUUAAUACUUAAUAUUCAGAUUGCCAAUAGUAUAUAUUUGGUGGGUAAAUAUCUUUUGGAUCUGCAAAAUUUUCACUGAUAGUUUGUAUCAGGAUCAAAGCAGUUUGAAGAACAUUAAUCUAAAAGAUAAGACUUUGGCAUCUCAUUUCUCUAAAAGAUAAGUCAUGCAUGUACACACUCAGGCAAUUUUUUUCAGUUUUAUAAGUUUUAUUCUUGAUAAUAAAAUUCUUUUAACAGAAAACUCUUGAUUGCUAUAGACCUCUGCUGUGUAUUCAGUAGUCACUAGCCACAUGUGGCUAUUUAAGUUAAUUCAAAUUAAAUAAAAUUAAAUAUCAGUUCCUUAUUUGCACUAGUCAGAUUUUAAGGAGUAAGUAGCCACAUGGGCAAGUGGCUACCAUAUUGGACAGUGUGGAUACACAACAAUUCCAUCAUCUCAGAAAGUGUUAUUGGAUAGUGUGGCUACAGACUUUUCUUGCUCAGCAAUCUUAGUCUCCGCAUGUUAGUCUCUUCAUGCAUUAGGUAGCAUCUAUAAAACAUGCCAAAAGGAAAUAGGCUAUCUCUAAAAGUGUCCCAAACUUUUUGUCUUGUAAAUUAGCUUAUCAGCAUACUUGGAGCCUCUUGCCUUAAAAAGGACUUGAUAUAAAUGUGUAUCAGGAGAAAGCCUAUCUUAUGAAGGAAUUAUUCCCUUUUUAUUUGAAUCCAUGUUUGCUUUAUCUUCGGCUCCUGAAAACUGAUACUUUGCAUUUAACAGCAGCAUAUGCCCAGGAUGAAUGAUAAUACAUCUCCUGAUACAGAGCUUGAGGUUACAGAAUAUCUUAAAUUGUUCCAGGAACUGUUGUUAUCAUUUAAGUCCAAUAAUCAGUAAGAUUUCACCCUACCAGAAUACACUUUUUUUUAUUAACUGUCUGGACCUUUGCUGAUUACAUUGUCCGGAAUGUGGAGUAUCGCAUUUGAGAAGAGGAUUGGAUCCUAGCCAUAACAUAAAUAUAAGGGUAAUUACAUCCAUGCUGAGAAAGAUUUAGGAAUGAUAGUAAGUUCAUUUGAGUGAGUGGUUUGGGCCAAACUUGAUAGAGAAUAGUCCAGGAAGACAUUUACUAUAAACAGUAGAUUAAAUGUUCUUGCCUGGUUAAUUACAUUUGAACUCUGUUAAUGACUGAAUCACUCAAACUGCUUAAUUGUAUUAUUAGAUGCACAUUUAAGUUAUGUAUUACAUGUCUUUAGUGGUGAUCAGAAUUUUAUCAGUUCCUCUGUCUUUCUUUAUACCAAGUAUGACUCAUAAACCCAGUAUUAAUUUGCCAAGAGAUUGGCAUACUAUUUGUAUAUAUGCUUUUCUUUCAAAUAAUCUGGAUUCCCAAUGCCCACAAUCAUUGAUCCUAAAGAAAAUGUGAGAGUAGGUAGAUAAACUCAAACAUCCCUACCAUCACCCCUGGUAGGAAAUCACUGGUGUAAUGUAUGAUAUUAACAUCUGCACCAAUUACUCUUAUAGGUGGAACAAUCCAAAGUUUUAAUCAGAGAAGGUGGUGUUCAGUUGCUGCUUACAAUAGUUGAUACCCCAGUAUUUGGAGAUGCAGUGGAUAACAGUAAUUGCUGGCAGCCUGCUAUCAAUUACAUUGAUAGUAAAUUUGAGGACUACCUAAAUGCAGAAUCGCAAGUGAACAGAUGUCAGAUGCCUGGUAACAGGGUGCAGUGUUGUUUAUACUUCAUUGCUCCUUCAGGACAUGGAGACAGAUCUCAUUAUGUUGCCCAGGGUGAUCCUUGAUCUCCUGGCCUCAAGUGAUCCUCCAACCUUGGUCUCCCAAAGUGCUGGGAUUACAGAUGUGAACUACCACACCCAGUCAACGUGCAGAAGGUUUUCAGUUUGAUGUAGUCUGAUGUAGUCUCAUGUAUUUAUCCUUGUUGUUGUUGCCUGAGCUUUUGGUGUGAUAUCCAAAAAUAUCAUUGCCAAGAUCAAUAUCAAGAAACUUUCCCCCUAUGUUUCUUACAGAAAUUUUAUGGUUUCAGAUUUUUCAUCUAUUUUGAGUAUAUUUUUGUGUAUGAUGUAAGAUAAGGGUCCAGUCUCCCCAGUGUUGGAUAUCCAAUUUUCAUAACACCAUUUAUUGAAGAGAUUAUUCUUUCUCCACUGUGUUUUCUUGAUGUCCUUGUCAAAAAUUAGUUGACUUUUAUAUGCUUGGGUUUAUUUCUGGGCUCUAUUCUGUUUCAUUGCUUUACAUCUCUGUUUUCAUGCCAGUGCCACAGUGUUUUGAUUACUAUAGCUUUGUAAUAUAAUUUGAAAUCAGAAUGUGUAAUACCUAUAACUUUGUUUUUUGCUCUAAAGAUUUAUUUAUUUAUUUAUUUAUUUUUGCCAUUUCAGGUCUUUUGUGGUUUCAUAUGAAUUUCAGAAUUGUUUUUCCUAUUUCUGUGAAAAAUGCCAUUGACAUUUUGAUAGGGAUUGUGUUGAAUCUAUAUAUUGCUUUGGAUAGUAUGGAUGUUUUAACACUAUUAAUUCUCCCAAUCCAUGAACAUGAAAUAUCUUUCCAUUCACUUGUGUCUUCUUCAAUUUCUUUCAUCAAUGUUUUAUAGUUUUCAUUGUGCAGAUCUUUCACUUACCUGGUUAAAUUUAUUCCUACAAUUUCAUUCUUUUUGAUAUUAGGGUAAAUUGAAUUAUUUUCUUGAUUUCUAUAAAUUAUUUAUUAUCAUACUCAUACUUGUCAGGCCUCUGGGCCCAAGCCUGCAUGUAUACAUCCAGAUGGCCUGAAAUAACUGAAGAAUCACAAAAGAAGUGAAAAUGGCCAGUUCCUGCCUUAACUGGUGACAUUACCUUGUGAAAUUCCUUCUCCUGGCUCAGAAGCUCCCCCGCUGAGCACCUUGUGACCCCCGUCCCUGCCCACCAGAGAACAACCCCCUUUGACUGUAAUUGUCCACUACCCACCCAAAUCCUAUAAAACAGCCCCACCCCUGUCUCCCUUCACUGACUCCUUUUUCAGACUCAGCCUGCCUGCACCCAGGUGAAAUAAACAGCCUUGUUGCUCACACAAAGCCUGUUGGUGGACUCUCUUCACACAGAUGCGCAAGACAAUACUAACACCAAUAUUAUUUUGAUUCGUCAGAUGGAAAAGUAAGGCUUGAAGAGGUUAGAAAUAACUUUUCCAAGGUCACAGAGCUAAUUGCCACAACUAUAACUCAGCUCUAGUAUGUGAACAAAGAUUUUUUUAUACCAAACCAAAAUUAUUUAUUUCUACUCCACUAUUCUAUCAUGGUGCAUUUUAGGUGCUAAUGGGAAAAGGUGCUCUAUGAUGGUGUCCAAUAGACAAUUAAAAUUCGAAUCUGGAAAUGAGAUCUGGACUGAAGAUUUUUUUUAAAAUUAGCCCUCAUCACAUGUAGUCAGCUGUAGAAAUCCUUAGCAUGGCUGAAAUUUUUCAUAUUAAGAAAAGACUAGAACUUGGCCAGGUGUGGUGGCUCACACCUGUAAUCCCAGCACUUUGGGAGGCUGAGGUGGGUGAAUCACCUGAGGUCUGGAGUUUGAGACCAGCUGACCAACAUGGUGAAACACCAUCUCUACUAAAAAUACAAAAAAUUAGCCAGGCGUGGUUGCACAUGCCUGUAAUCCUAGCUACUUGGGAAGCUGAGGUAGGAGAAUUGCUUGAACCCAGGAGGUGGAGGUUGCAGCGAGCUGAGAUCGUGCCAUUGCACUGCAGUCUGGGCAAAAAAAGCAAAACUCCGAAGAAAGAGAGAAAGAGAGAGGGAGAGAGAAAGGAGGAGACAAUGAGAGACAGAGAGAGAGAAGGAGAGAGAAAGAACAAAAGAAUGAAUGAACGAACAAACUAGAAAUCGAGCAGGAACCUUGGAGGACCUAUUGCUUAAGGUGUGGGCGAAAGAAAGUAAGUUAGGGCAAGAGACUAAGGUAUGCCAGAGACCCAGGACAAAACACAGUGCAGAGUGAUGUCACAGAGCCAAAUGGGAGUGCAAGCUAUGGCAAGCCCUCCCAAGUAUGUGUGGGUUAAAUGUGAUUAAAUUCAAAAUCUCUCAACCCAAAAAUUUUCUCCACAAAGGAAGUAGAGAAACAAAACAGUUCAUUAUUGAAUAAGCAUUAAACCAGAAUGUGAUGUGUGAAUAUAAUGGAAUGGAAUGGAUUCGAAAGAAAUGGAAUGGAAUGGAAUGGAGUGGAAUGGAAUGGACCCGAAUGGAAUGGAACAGAAUGGAAUGGAAUGGAACGCACUCGAAUGGAAUGAAAUGGAAUGGAAUGGAAUGGAAUGGAACGGACAUGAAUGGAAUGGAAUGGAAUGGAAUGGAAUGGAAUGGAAUGGAAUGGAAUGGACACGAAUGGAACAGAAUGGAACGGAAUAGACUCGAAUGGGAUGGAAUGGAAUUGAAUGGACUCUAAUGGAAUGGACAUGAAUGGAAUGGAAUGGACUCAAUUAGAAUGCAGUUGAAUUGAAAGGAUCCAAAAGGAAUGCAAUGGAAUGCAUUGGAAUGGAAUGGAAUGGAAUGGAAUGGAAUGGAAUGGAAUGGAAUGGACUUGAAUGGGAUGGACUCUAAUGGAAUGGAAUGGAAUGGAACUGAAUGGAAUGGAAUGGACUUGAAUGGAAUAGAAUGGAAUGGAAUGGAAUGGACUCGAAAGAAAUGGAAUGGAAUGGAUUCAAAUGGAAUGGAAUGGACACAAAUGGAACCAAAUGGAAUGGAAUGGACUCGAAUGGAAUACAAUGGAAUUUAAUGGAAUGGACUCUAAUGGAAUGGAAUGGACUAGAAUGGAAUAGAACGGAAUAGACUCGAAAGGUAUGGAAUGCAAUGGAAUGGACUCGAAUGGAAUAGAACAGAAUAGACUAGAAUGGUAUGGAAUGCAAUGGAAUGGACAAGAAUUGAAUUGAAUGGACUGGAAUGGAAUGGAAUGGAAUGCAAUGGAAUGCACUUGAACGGAUUGGAAUGGAAUGGAAUGGAACGGAACGGAACGGAACGGAACGGACCCGGAAUGGAACGGAACGGACCCGGAAUGGAACGGAACGGAAUGGAAUGGAAUGGAAUGGAAUGAAGUGGACUCUAAUGGAAUGGAAUGGAAUGGAAUAGACUCGAAUGAAAUGGGAUGGACUCGAAUGGAAUGGAACGGAAUGGAAUCGACUCGAGUGGAAUGGAAUGGAAUGGAAUGGAAUAGAAUGGAAUUGACUCAAUUUAAAUGGAAUGAAGUGGAAUGAACUCGAAUGGCAUGCAAUGGAAUGGAAUAGAAUCGAAUGGAAUGGAAUGGACCCAAAUGGAAUGGAACGGAAUGGAAUGGAAUGGAACGGAAUGGCAUGGAACGGAAUGGAAUGGAUUGGAAUGAACUCCAACGGAAUGGAAUGGACUCGAAUGCAAUGGAACGGAAUGGAAUGGAAUGGAAUGGAGUGGACUGGAAUGGAAUAGAAUGGAAUGGAUAGGACUGGAAUGAAAUGGAAUGGAAUGGACUCAAAUGGAAUGGAAUGGAAUGGAAUGGACUCAAAUGGAAUGGACUCAAGUGGAAUGGAAUGGAAUGGACACGAAUUGAAUGGAAUGGAAUGGACUGUAAUGGAAAGGAAUGGAAUGGAACGGAAUGGACUCGAAUGGAAUGGAAAGGACUCGAGUGGAAUGGAAUGGAAUGGAAUGGACUCGAAUGGAAUGGAGUGGAAUGUAUGCGAAUGGAAUGGAAUGGAAUUGAAUGGAUUCGAGUCAAACGGAAUGUAAUGGUAUGGAAUGGACUCGAAUGGAAUGGAAUGUAAUGGAAUGAAAUGGAUGCGAAUGGAAUGGACUCGAAUGGAAUGGAUGGAAUGGAAUGGAGUGGAAUGGAAUGGACUCGAAUGGUAUGGAAUGGAAUUGAAUGGACUCGAUAGGAAUGGAAUGGAAUGGAUUGGACUCGAAAGGAAUGUAAUGGAAUGAAAUGUGCUGGAAUGGAAUGGAAUGGAAUGGAAUAAAAUGUAAUGGAAUGGACUCGAAUGGAAUACAGUUGAAUUGAAUGGACCCGAAAGCAAUGGAAGGAAUGGAAUGGAACGGAUUGGAAGGGAAUGGAAUGGAAUGAAAUGGAAAAGACUCGAAUGGAAUGGAAUGGAAUGGAAUGGAAUGGAAUGGAAUGGAAUGGAAUGGAAUGGAAUGGAAUGGAAUGGACUCGAAUGAAAUGGAAUGGACUCGAAUGAAAUGGAAUGGACUAGAAUGGAAUGGAAUGGAAUGGAAUGGAAUGGAAUGGAAUGGAAUGGAAUGGAAUGGAAUGGAAUGGAAUCGACUCGAGUGGAAUGGAAUGGACUCGAAAGAAAUGGAAUGCAGUGGAAUGGACUCGAAUGGAAUGCAAUGGAAUGGAAUAGACUCGAACGGAAUGGAAUGGAAUGGAAUGGAAUGGAAUGGAACGGAAUGGACGCGAAUGAAAUGGAAUGGAACGGAAUGGACUCGGAUGGAACGGAACGGAAUGGAACGGAAUGGAAUGGAAUUUACUCGAAUGGGAUGGAAUGGAAUGGAAUUUACUCGAAUGGAAUGGAAUGGAAUGGACUGAAAUGGAAUAGCAUGGAAUGGAAUGGACUCGAAUGCAAUGGAAUGGAAUGGACUCGAGUGGAAUGGAAUGGACUCGAACGGAGUGGAGUCGAAUGGAUUCGAAUGGAAUGCAAUGGAAUGGAAUGGAAUGCAAUGUACUCGAAUGGAAUGGAAUGUAAUAGAAUGAAAAUUACUCGAAUGGAAUGGAAUGGAAUGGAAUGGAAUCGAACGGACUUGAAUAGAAUGCAGUUGAAUUGAAUGGACCUGAAAGAAUGGAAUGGAAUGGAAUGAAAUGGACUCGAAUGGAAUGGAAUAGACUGAAAUGAAAUGGAAUGUACCAGAAUGGAAUGGAAUGGAAUGUACUGGAAUGGAAUGGAAUGGACUCGAAUGAUAUGCAAUUGAAUGGACUCGCAUGGAUUGGAAUGGACUCUAGUGGAAUGGAAUGGAAUAGAAUGGACUCCAAUGGAAUGCGGUGGGAUGGAUUCAAAUGGAAUGGAAUGGAAUUGAGUGGAUUUGAAUUGAAUGGAAUGUAAUGGUAUGGAAUGGAAUGGAAUGAAAUGGACUCGAAUGGAAUGGAAUGUACUCGAAUUGUAUGGAACGGAAUUGAAUGGACUCGAAAGGAAUGGAAUGGAAUGGAAUGGACUCGAAUGGAAUGGAAUGGAAUGAACUCCAAUGGAAUGGAAUGGACUCGAAUAGAAUGGAAUGGAAUGGAAAGGACUCGAGUGGAAUGGAAUGGAGUGGAAUGGACUCGAAUGGGAUGGAAUGGAAUGGAAUGGACUCGAAUGGAAUGGAAUGGAAUGGAACCGAAAGGAAUGGAAUGGAAUGGAAUGGAAUGGAAUCGACCCGACUGGAAUGGAAUGGAAUGGAAUGCAAUGGAAUCGAAUGGGAUGGAAUGUAUUGGAAUGGACUCGAAUGGAAUGGAUAGGAAUGGACCCGAAUGAAAUGGAAUGGUCUUGAGUGGAAUGGG
RNAcentral lists this long non-coding RNA (15684 nucleotides) under Homo sapiens (human). RNAcentral's name for it is "non-protein coding lnc-FBXO28-1:14". The record is from RNAcentral. Lineage: Eukaryota; Metazoa; Chordata; Mammalia; Primates; Hominidae.